UGCGUAGGCGGAAUAGUCAGUCAGUGGUGAAAUCCUACAGCUUAACUGUAGAACUGCCAUUGAUACUGCUAUUCUUGAGUUCAGUUGAGGUAGGCGGAAUGUGUAGUGUAGCGGUGAAGUGCUUAGAUAUUACACAGAACACCGAUUGCGAAGGCAGCUUACUAAACUGACACUGACGCUGAGGCACGAAAGCGUGGGGAGCAAACAGGAUUAGAUACCCUGGUAGUCC
RNAcentral lists this ribosomal RNA (229 nucleotides) under uncultured bacterium. RNAcentral describes it as "partial 16S ribosomal RNA". It matches the Rfam family "Bacterial small subunit ribosomal RNA", at positions 568 to 796 of the family's 1533-position model. The record is from RNAcentral.